UGGGGAAUAUUGCACAAUGGGCGCAAGCCUGAUGCAGCCAUGCCGCGUGUGUGAAGAAGGCCUUCGGGUUGUAAAGCACUUUCAGUCGUGAGGAAGGUAGUGUAGUUAAUAGCUGCAUUAUUUGACGUUAGCGACAGAAGAAGCACCGGCUAACUCCGUGCCAGCAGCCGCGGUAAUACGGAGGGUGCGAGCGUUAAUCGGAAUUACUGGGCGUAAAGCGCAUGCAGGUGGUUUGUUAAGUCAGAUGUGAAAGCCCGGGGCUCAACCUCGGAAUUGCAUUUGAAACUGGCAGACUAGAGUACUGUAGAGGGGGGUAGAAUUUCAGGUGUAGCGGUGAAAUGCGUAGAGAUCUGAAGGAAUACCGGUGGCGAAGGCGGCCCCCUGGACAGAUACUGACACUCAGAUGCGAAAGCGUGGGGAGCAAACAGG
Molecule: ribosomal RNA, 429 nt
Filed under: uncultured bacterium
Lineage: Bacteria
Also listed under: 1 other name
Description: bacterial SSU rRNA
Rfam family: Bacterial small subunit ribosomal RNA
Source: RNAcentral